GUGUAUCUAAAAGUAAAAUACUUUAUUUUAUUUUUUUAAUUGUAAAUUGUAAAAUACUUUUUUAAAAAUUUAAGGUUGUCUUACUCUUUAAACUGCAAGAUUCAUGCAUCGUUCUUUUUCUAAUUAAACAGACCAACUAGUUAUAAGAAAAAUGGGAUAAGUGGCGGAGUGACUAAUUAUUAUUUAUCUCGUCUUUAACAAAAUCACCUACUUGAAUUUUUUUUUUUUUUGAAAAAGGCUUAUCCUACUUGAAUAUUUCUCAUCAAACAAUGUUUUUUUUUUCUCAACGUGUCCAUCAAAAUGCUAAAAAACUUUGAAAUAGUUAAAAAAACAGACAUUGCUUAAUCAGAUUUCCAAAUAAAAAACUUAAAUCCCUUCAACGGUUCAACCAAUGAGAUUGCACUACCUGUUUCUCAAAAAAAAAAAAAAAAUUGCACUACCAGUUAAGAAUGAAACUCUUAAGAGUUCGAAAUUGGCGAGUUAUACGAUAAAGUUGUAAAAUAUAUUCGGAAGUCUAAAUCCAUUUCGACGUAUUACUUUACGUAAACCUUAAUAUUUUACUUCUCAAAUACUCAGUUGAUAAGGUCCAUCAUAUUUAUUAUAAUUACCAUUCUGAACAAUAUUUUGUAGUUUAAAUAUCAUUAUCGUGAUAUGACAAAAUUAUUGAUAAAAAUACUUCAAAAUAAUUCUGUAAACUACAUUUAAAUUCACAUUAUAGUACUCCACGUGACUUAGGGACCAAUCAAAUAAACUAUUUUAGACUAUAAUUAUUGUAGUGCACUAAAAUCAUAAAAGUAUUAAAAAUAGAGAAAAGUGUUUGUUUUUCCGUG
RNAcentral lists this long non-coding RNA (830 nucleotides) under Brassica rapa (field mustard). RNAcentral's name for it is "long non-coding RNA (BRAP_LNC005357)". The record is from RNAcentral. Lineage: Eukaryota; Viridiplantae; Streptophyta; Magnoliopsida; Brassicales; Brassicaceae.